RNAcentral lists this ribosomal RNA (468 nucleotides) under uncultured bacterium. RNAcentral describes it as "partial 16S ribosomal RNA". It matches the Rfam family "Bacterial small subunit ribosomal RNA", at positions 28 to 507 of the family's 1533-position model. The record is from RNAcentral.
GGCGAACGCUGGCGGCGUGCUUAACACAUGCAAGUCGAACGGAAAGGCCCUGCUUUUGUGGGGUGCUCGAGUGGCGAACGGGUGAGUAACACGUGAGUAACCUGCCCUUGACUUUGGGAUAACUUCAGGAAACUGGGGCUAAUACCGGAUAGGAGCUCCUGCUGCAUGGUGGGGGUUGGAAAGUUUCGGCGGUUGGGGAUGGACUCGCGGCUUAUCAGCUUGUUGGUGGGGUAGUGGCUUACCAAGGCUUUGACGGGUAGCCGGCCUGAGAGGGUGACCGGCCACAUUGGGACUGAGAUACGGCCCAGACUCCUACGGGAGGCAGCAGUGGGGAAUAUUGCACAAUGGGCGGAAGCCUGAUGCAGCAACGCCGCGUGCGGGAUGACGGCCUUCGGGUUGUAAACUGCUUUCGCCUGUGACGAAGCGUGAGUGACGGUAAUGGGUAAAGAAGCACCGGCUAACUACGUG